Molecule: ribosomal RNA, 435 nt
Filed under: uncultured bacterium
Lineage: Bacteria
Description: bacterial SSU rRNA
Rfam family: Bacterial small subunit ribosomal RNA
Source: RNAcentral
UCGAGGAUCUUCGGCAAUGGGCGCAAGCCUGACCGAGCGACGCCGCGUGUGCGAUGAAGGCCUUCGGGUUGUAAAGCACUGUCGAGGGGGAGGAAAGCCCGCAAGGGCCUGACCUAUCCCUGGAGGAAGCACGGGCUAAGUUCGUGCCAGCAGCCGCGGUAAGACGAACCGUGCGAACGUUGUUCGGAUUCACUGGGCUUAAAGGGCGCGUAGGCGGGCGGUCUUGUCGGGGGUGAAAUCGUUCGGCUCAACCGGACCAGUGCCCCCGAAACGGGCCGCCUCGAGGGAGGUAGGGGCAUGUGGAACUUCCGGUGGAGCGGUGAAAUGCGUAGAUAUCGGAAGGAACGCCGGUGGCGAAAGCGACGUGCUGGACCUCUUCUGACGCUGAGGCGCGAAAGCCAGGGGAGCAAACGGGAUUAGAUACCCCCGUAGUCC